AUCCAACUGACGAGUCCCAAAUAGGACGAAAUGCGCGUCCUGGAU
Non-coding RNA from Schistosoma mansoni, 45 nucleotides. NCBI's taxonomy places the organism in Eukaryota, Metazoa, Platyhelminthes, Trematoda, Strigeidida, Schistosomatidae. The record is from Rfam.